UGAUCCUGGCUCAGAUUGAACGCUGGCGGCAGGCCUAACACAUGCAAGUCGAGCGGAUGAAGGGAGCUUGCUCCUGGAUUCAGCGGCGGACGGGUGAGUAAUGCCUAGGAAUCUGCCUGGUAGUGGGGGAUAACGUCCGGAAACGGGCGCUAAUACCGCAUACGUCCUGAGGGAGAAAGUGGGGGAUCUUCGGACCUCACGCUAUCAGAUGAGCCUAGGUCGGAUUAGCUAGUUGGUGGGGUAAAGGCCUACCAAGGCGACGAUCCGUAACUGGUCUGAGAGGAUGAUCAGUCACACUGGAACUGAGACACGGUCCAGACUCCUACGGGAGGCAGCAGUGGGGAAUAUUGGACAAUGGGCGAAAGCCUGAUCCAGCCAUGCCGCGUGUGUGAAGAAGGUCUUCGGAUUGUAAAGCACUUUAAGUUGGGAGGAAGGGCAGUAAGUUAAUACCUUGCUGUUUUGACGUUACCAACAGAAUAAGCACCGGCUAACUUCGUGCCAGCAGCCGCGGUAAUACGAAGGGUGCAAGCGUUAAUCGGAAUUACUGGGCGUAAAGCGCGCGUAGGUGGUUCAGCAAGUUGGAUGUGAAAUCCCCGGGCUCAACCUGGGAACUGCAUCCAAAACUACUGAGCUAGAGUACGGUAGAGGGUGGUGGAAUUUCCUGUGUAGCGGUGAAAUGCGUAGAUAUAGGAAGGAACACCAGUGGCGAAGGCGACCACCUGGACUGAUACGACGGUGAGCCGCACC
This 747-nucleotide ribosomal RNA is filed under the name Pseudomonas aeruginosa. RNAcentral describes it as "bacterial SSU rRNA". It matches the Rfam family "Bacterial small subunit ribosomal RNA", at positions 14 to 757 of the family's 1533-position model. Lineage: Bacteria; Pseudomonadati; Pseudomonadota; Gammaproteobacteria; Pseudomonadales; Pseudomonadaceae. The record is from RNAcentral.